UUUUUUUUUUUUUGGCGCGCCACCGCCAUCCGACGCCGCGAUCCAGAUCCAGGUACCCCCUCCGUGGACUGCCCCUGCGCCUCACUUCAUCCCUCCCCUCGGCGUCCGCGUCGUCCCUGCCCCCCUGAGACGCCACCGGCGUGGAGUGGAGAUCCGAUCCAUGUGAACCUGAGUAAUCCUAGGCAUCCCGAUCGCUCGUUUUCUCCGCAGAAUCUCUCCCCUUUUGUUCGUUGUGAGCUCUGAAAGGCGAAUAUUCGUCGUUCUCCCCAAUCCAUCCAGUUGGCUCGGCUGCUUGUUUGCAGCGUAGUGGAGUUCGUACUGAUGUAUAGGUGGUUUGGUUUAUGUUUUCUAAUUUUAUUUGCGUGUUCAACUGAAUCCGCACAGCCCUCGUUUAGUCCGCCGCUGGCUUUGUACCAGAGAAACGCACUGCGAAGACACCUCUGUGAAUUCUAACCUGUAUAUUUGUACUGUUUAUGGCAGUGUGGCGGUUCGUUCCACUGUAUCUGUAUACACGGAAUCAGUGAUCGGGCAGAGUAAUACGAGGAGGGAGGGCCUGACCAUUUGAGCUGCUUUUGUAGAGAAUGUCAGAGGGGAAUGCGGAUGGCAUCGAGAUAUUAAUCUGUAAUGAUGAGAGGAGGGACAGAGCAGAUGCCGAGAUAUCAGAGGACGAGCCGAGGCACACGAAAAUGAGGGCGCUGAGGAAAAAAGCGCUGCAUGCAUCAACAAGGCUGACACACUCGCUGAAGAAGAGGGGGAAGAGGAAAGUGGACUGCAGAGUACCAAGGAUAGCGAUAGAGGAUGUCAGGGAUGCUGAGGAAGAGCAGGCGGUGAGCUCGUUUCGGGAAAUUUUAUUUGCUAGGAGCUUGUUGCCAGUCAAGCAUGACGAUUACCAUAUGAUGCUCAGAUUUUUAAAAGCGAGGAAGUUUGACUUUGAGAAGGCAGCACAGAUGUGGGCAGACAUGCUGCAGUGGAGAAAGGAGUUUGGGACAGACGCAAUUUUUGAAGAUUUUGAAUUUCACGAGCUAGAGGAGGUCCUGCAAUACUAUCCCCAUGGUUAUCAUGGGGUUGACAAGGAAGGAAGGCCUGUAUAUAUUGAGUUGCUUGGGAAAGUAGAACCCAACAAGCUUGUACAAAUUACAUCAGUGGAGCGAUACAUUAAAUACCAUGUGCAAGAGUUUGAGAGAGCUUUCCGCGAGAAAUUUCCUGCAUGCUUAAUUGCUGCCAAAAGGCACAUAGACACCACAACUACAAUAUUGGAUGUCCAUGGCGUGGGCUGGAAGAAUUUUAGCAAGAUUGCGAGGGAUCUGGUGCGUUGCAUGCAAAAAAUAGAUGGUGACUAUUAUCCUGAGACACUGCAUCAAAUGUUUAUCGUAAAUGCUGGACCUGGUUUCAAGCUGAUAUGGAGCACUGUGAAGGGGCUUCUUGACCCCAAGACAUCAUCUAAAAUACAUGUUCUAGGAACAAAAUAUCAAAGCAGACUUCUUGAAGCUAUUGAUGCGAGCCAAUUGCCGGAAUACUUUGGUGGAUCGUGUGCAUGUCCUAACCACGGAGGGUGCCUGAGGUCCAACAAAGGCCCCUGGAGCGAUCCUUCAAUCAUGAAGCUUGUACAUGGCAUGGAGUCAUUGAGGGAAAUUGGGCAAGUAUCUGAUAUAGAAGAAACAAUUACAGGGUCUGUAAGAUUGCGUGCUCUCAAGUUACCAGAACGAAUUAGUGACACAUCAAAUGCUGAAUCAGGUUCAGAUGUCGACGAUAUUGGAUCCCCUGUGGCUCCUGAAGAUGUUGAAUAUCCUAGUUUGGCGCCAGUUCAUGAAGAAGCGAGGGAAUCAGGAUCUACGACUUACAGUGGUUCUGAUGGCACAUCUCAUAUGGCGGAUAAAGUAGUAAGAUCCAAGCAAAGAUACAAUGCUGCUGGAAAUGAAGCUAGACAGUUUGAUACAGAACAAAAUUCCUUAGUAAAUGGGGCUUUGCCUGUGCCAGCAGGUUGGCAUGCCCUGAACGAUGGUGUUGGCAAUGCUGAUGAUGGGGUCUUGAAACAUUUAUCAAGAACAGUCAUUGCUGUAUUUGUUAAAGUACUCUCUAUUUUGCGUUUUUUCAUUCCUCGGCGACAACACUUGGAAAAUGUCCGUCCACAUACUGCAACUGUGCCCAGUAAUCAGGCAGAUCUUCAGAUGAUUAGGGAAGAUCGUGUGAACCCUUGUCUGGAGCGUCUUGAGCGACUUGAGUCAGUGUUUAAUCAGCUCAGCAGAAAGCCUCCAGAGCUUCCACAGGAUAAGGAUCGGGCCAUACAAGAUUCUUUUGACAGGAUAAAGUCCAUUGAGUUUGAUCUGGAGAAGACAAAGAAGUCUCAGGCAUAACUUUGGACAUUGCGAAUUGAACUUGUAUAGGACAGUUGCUUCUACAAAUUUACUCAAAAUCUGCCAGUUUGGAUGCUAAACUUUGACAUGAAAGGCUGAAACAUUGCUGCUCAUAGUACAAAGAGAACUACAGGGACUAUGUUGUUGUAACUUGUAAGCUUUAGUCCUUGAUGGGCCAUGUUUCAUCUGGUCCUACUGGAUAUAUCUUUAGGACAACAUUGUCAGAACCCAGAGGUCUAUAUUUGAUUAACACCUAUUGGAAACACAUGUUCUGAUGAUCUCGAGUUUUCCUUUGUGUAUGUAUCUUAUAUCAUGCUAUUGUUCCAGACUACCAGUGUGUAUUGAGGGUAUUGCAUGCAACGGUUAUCAAACAAAUGCAGAUGGCUGAGACUUUGGAAGCUGUGAAGGAGUCUGAUCUUAGGAGGAGGAAAUUUUGUACAUAGUACACCUAAUUGUAAUGUACAGAAACAAGAAAACAAGUUGGCGACUUACUAAUGUCUGAUACCCGACAGAAUCAAACAACAUUGCUUUGUACAUGGCUGCCCUGGUCUACAGAGAUGAGCAGAUAGCGAUGGCAUCUUAGCCUCAAUAACAAAAGAUAGUUGUCGACCUGUACACUGAGGAAAUAGUCAAAAACAGCAUCCUGGAAAGUGCCCAGGCACCGUCCAGUUUCACUCAUAAUUCAAUCCAUUUUUUGGUUGAUUACUCCAUACAUCUAUCACACUUUCAUACAUCUGGGUCAGGUCUUUGCAAGUUUGCAUUUAUACACCGUCAGAUCUCGAGGAAUGAUGUUCGUCCGGAUCAUGAGCUGUCUGGCAGUCAAAGAUGCAUCGGACUGAGCUGUCAAGUAGACAACAGCCCGACAGCCGGAUUCCAGAAGGGAGACGCCGGAUUCUGGCAGAAGUGGAGACCUGGGCAGCGAGGACGAGGAUGGGGUGAGCCGUGAGCGCGCGAGAGCGCACAUGUCCGUGAGGAAAUGGUCGCGGGAAGGGGUCCAACCACGAAGCAUCCGAAUCUGUAAAUGAUGUGAGAAUUUGUGUAAUUUUGUCUUGCCCUCUGACCCAGGGUGUUAACCAUUGAUUGGCACGCUGACGUAAGUUUAAUGCUUCUCAAUUGCAAAUUA
RNA transcript from Panicum virgatum (switchgrass), 3477 nucleotides. It is a transcript of the gene named phosphatidylinositol/phosphatidylcholine transfer protein SFH9-like, with no coding region annotated. The record is from RefSeq and is a predicted model, not a curated record. Lineage: Eukaryota; Viridiplantae; Streptophyta; Magnoliopsida; Poales; Poaceae. The transcript is spliced from 15 exons.